RNAcentral lists this long non-coding RNA (313 nucleotides) under Elaeis guineensis (African oil palm). RNAcentral's name for it is "long non-coding RNA (EGUI_LNC024488)". The record is from RNAcentral. Lineage: Eukaryota; Viridiplantae; Streptophyta; Magnoliopsida; Arecales; Arecaceae.
GUCAACAAAUACGAUCAAUGUCAAAGAUAUGCUAAUAUCUAACAUCAGCUUGCUGUCGAACUCAUUUUUAUUGCUGCAUCUUGAUCCUUCGCAAUUUGGGAAAUGGAUAUAUUAGGGCCUUUUCUAGUGGCAAUAGGUUAGAAAGUUUUUAGUGGUAGUUAUUGACUACUUUACUAAGUAGGUGGAGGCAAAAUCUUUAGCUUAAAUUACUGAGAAAAAGAUACAAGAUUUUACCCAAAAAUCAAUAAUAUGUCGAUUUGAUUUAUCUCAGAUAAUUAUUACCGAUAAUAGUUGAUAGUUUGACAACUUCAAG